UAGGGAAUCUUCCACAAUGGACGCAAGUCUGAUGGAGCAACGCCGCGUGAGUGAAGAAGGUUUUCUGAUCGUAAAGCUCUGUUGUUGGUGGAGAAGGAUAGAGGACGUAACUGGUCUUUAUUUGACGGUAAUCAACCAGAAAGUCACGGAUAACUACGUGCCAGCAGCCGCGGUAAUACGUAGUUGGCAAGCGUUGACUGGAUUUAUUGGGCGGAAAGCGAGCGCAGGCGGAAUGAUAAGUCUGAGGUGAAAGCCAACAGCUCAACCGUGGAACUGCAUCGGAAACUGUCAGUCGUGAGUGCAGAAGAGGAGAGUGGAAUUCCAGGUGUAGCGGUGGAAUGCGUAGAUAUAUGGAAGAACACCAGUGGCGAAGGCGGCUCUCUGGUCUGCAACUGACGCUGAGGCUCGAAGGCAUGGGUAGCGAACAGG
Molecule: ribosomal RNA, 429 nt
Filed under: bacterium
Lineage: Bacteria
Description: partial 16S ribosomal RNA
Rfam family: Bacterial small subunit ribosomal RNA
Source: RNAcentral